RNAcentral lists this ribosomal RNA (83 nucleotides) under Vibrio parahaemolyticus. Its description in RNAcentral is "partial 16S ribosomal RNA". It matches the Rfam family "Bacterial small subunit ribosomal RNA", at positions 1 to 81 of the family's 1533-position model. Lineage: Bacteria; Pseudomonadati; Pseudomonadota; Gammaproteobacteria; Vibrionales; Vibrionaceae. The record is from RNAcentral.
UUAAAUUGAAGAGUUUGAUCAUGGCUCAGAUUGAACGCUGGCGGCAGGCCUAACACAUGCAAGUCGAGCGGAAACGAGUUGUC